GCCCUCGUGGUGGAAUUGGUAGACACACCAGUUUUAGGAACUGGCGCUUUACCGCAUGCCGGUUCGAGUCCGGCCGAGGGUA
This 82-nucleotide transfer RNA is filed under the name Massjukichlorella minus. RNAcentral describes it as "tRNA-Leu". It matches the Rfam family "tRNA". From Rfam's summary of the family: Transfer RNA (tRNA) molecules are approximately 80 nucleotides in length. Lineage: Eukaryota; Viridiplantae; Chlorophyta; Trebouxiophyceae; Watanabeales; Watanabeaceae. The record is from RNAcentral.